This 228-nucleotide ribosomal RNA is filed under the name uncultured bacterium. RNAcentral describes it as "partial 16S ribosomal RNA". It matches the Rfam family "Bacterial small subunit ribosomal RNA", at positions 103 to 334 of the family's 1533-position model. The record is from RNAcentral.
CGGGUGAGUAAUGUCUGGGAAACUGCCUGAUGGAGGGGGAUAACUACUGGAAACGGUAGCUAAUACCGCAUAACGUCGCAAGACCAAAGAGGGGGACCUUCGGGCCUCUUGCCAUCGGAUGUGCCCAGAUGGGAUUAGCUAGUAGGUGGGGUAACGGCUCACCUAGGCGACGAUCCCUAGCUGGUCUGAGAGGAUGACCAGCCACACUGGAGCUGAGACACGGCCCAG